Molecule: long non-coding RNA, 694 nt
Organism: Microcebus murinus (gray mouse lemur)
Lineage: Eukaryota; Metazoa; Chordata; Mammalia; Primates; Cheirogaleidae
Source: RefSeq, a predicted model, not a curated record
UGGAAACGGCGCUGUCAUAGCAGCCUCUCGCUAGCGGCGAGCCAGCUGUGCUGCCAGGCGGAGCUGGGUCAGGAUGUUCAGACCUCCGCGCACCCCUCCCCACCUGCCCGCACCUCGGGGAGGGGGUGGUGGCCGGCCCGCGAGGGAGGGCGGGCGCUAAUUGGAUUGGAACUCUCCCGAACCGCAUCACUGCGCCUCCCUGGGGGAGGGGAGGGGGAGGCUGCAGACUGUCUUUGUGAUCGGUCUCGGCCUCUCCCUCCCUGCAGCCUCGCCCUGACCUGGUCUUCACUGGCCUCUGCCCACCCCGUCGCUGUCCUAGGGCACAGUGGCAAGCUCACUGUACAAUGGAGGCGGCAGACAAGGAUCAGGCCAUCACCAAGAUGGGAUUCCGCCUUGAUGAGGAAGGGGCUGCAAAAACUUCCAAAGGGAAAAAGGAGUCCUCGUGCUGGAGCAGAUUGGAAACCACCGAGCCAGGCUGUCUCGGUGGCGUGUCAUCCCCCUUGGCAUAGGAGAAUCAUGAGACCUGAGAUCAAGUUCCAGCUCUUCCCCUGGCUGGUUAGAUGAUCUUGGGGGCAGCCCCUUGUGACUUGGAGAGCUUUGGUUUCCUCAUCCUGGAGCAGAGAUCAUGAAAAUUAUUUGGCAAGAUGGUCACACAGAUUAAAUGAGAUAAUGAAAGGGCUUUGAAAACUGUGAA